RNAcentral lists this ribosomal RNA (1023 nucleotides) under uncultured delta proteobacterium. RNAcentral describes it as "bacterial SSU rRNA". It matches the Rfam family "Bacterial small subunit ribosomal RNA", at positions 382 to 1395 of the family's 1533-position model. The record is from RNAcentral. Lineage: Bacteria; Deltaproteobacteria.
CCUGACGCAGCAACGCCGCGUGAGUGAUGAAGGCCUUCGGGUCGUAAAGCUCUGUCAAGUGGGAAGAACCCGGUUGAUUAUAAUACAAUUAACCGCUGACGGUACCACUGAAGGAAGCACCGGCUAACUCCGUGCCAGCAGCCGCGGUAAUACGGGGGGUGCAAGCGUUAUUCGGAAUCAUUGGGCGUAAAGGGCGCGUAGGCGGUUUUUUAAGUCGGAUGUGAAAGCCCGGGGCUUAACCCCGGAAGUGCAUUUGAAACUGAAAGACUUGAGUAUGGGAGAGGGAAGUGGAAUUCCUGGUGUAGAGGUGAAAUUCGUAGAUAUCAGGAGGAACACCGGUGGCGAAGGCGACUUCCUGGACCAAUACUGACGCUGAGGCGCGAAGGCGUGGGUAGCAAACAGGAUUAGAUACCCUGGUAGUCCACGCAGUAAACGGUGAACACUAGGUGUAGCGGGUAUUGACCCCUGCUGUGCCGAAGUUAACGCAUUAAGUGUUCCGCCUGGGAAGUACGAUCGCAAGAUUAAAACUCAAAGGAAUUGACGGGGGCCCGCACAAGCGGUGGAGCAUGUGGUUUAAUUCGACGCAACGCGAAGAACCUUACCUGGAUUUGACAUCCCGGGAAUUCUCUUGAAAGAGAGAAGUGCCCUUCGGGGAGCCCGGAGACAGGUGCUGCAUGGCUGUCGUCAGCUCGUGUCGUGAGAUGUUGGGUUAAGUCCCGCAACGAGCGCAACCCUUGUCUUUAGUUACCAUCAUUCAGUUGGGGACUCUAAAGAUACUGCCCCGGUAAACGGGGAGGAAGGUGGGGAUGACGUCAAGUCCUCAUGGCCUUUAUAUCCAGGGCUACACACGUGCUACAAUGGGCUGUACAAAAGGUUGCAAACCCGCGAGGGUAAGCUAAUCCUGUAAAACAGUUCUAAGUUCGGAUUGGAGUCUGCAACUCGACUCCAUGAAGCUGGAAUCGCUAGUAAUCGCGGAUCAGCACGCCGCGGUGAAUACGUUCCCGGGCCUUGUACACACCGCCC